Molecule: unclassified non-coding RNA, 227 nt
Filed under: Hevea brasiliensis (rubber tree)
Lineage: Eukaryota; Viridiplantae; Streptophyta; Magnoliopsida; Malpighiales; Euphorbiaceae
Source: RNAcentral
UUCCCAAACACCUCAGUAGACCAUCGUUUCAUCAAAGAGCGGCUGCGAGGAAACAACAACUUGCACUGGCUUGCUUGUGUUGAAGCUAACCUGUGCCCAUUUUAGUACUUAUGAUUCUUUUUGUCCUUUUUCUGUGGUCAGUGUGUAAUUUUCCCUGUAAAUACUCUUGGAUAUUCGAUGAGAUGACUUUAGUUGGGUGGAAAAUGCAAUGCAAUCCUUUUGUCUGA